Molecule: long non-coding RNA, 645 nt
Organism: Argiope bruennichi
Lineage: Eukaryota; Metazoa; Arthropoda; Arachnida; Araneae; Araneidae
Exons: 5
Source: RefSeq, a predicted model, not a curated record
AGUGUAUUGUAUCCGUGAAGAAUUUUAACUACAUAUAAACAUUUUAGAAUAUUGUACAGACACAAAUUCUUGGGAUUAAACACAGGAAAAUAUUCACUUCUUGUAUGAUACGAAUACAUAAGAAGUUAAAGAUGCAGAACAUCUUAACAUGUACGCUGCUGCUCAUUUGUCUUUCCCCAGCAGUUUUGUGUGCUUAUCACUAUCCGGGAUAUCCUGGCGUUGAUUGUCCAUCUGCUAGUGAAGAAAUGCUGAAAAAUCCACCUGGAGACUGGAUGAUUCCGAAAUGCAACAAAGACGGAUCUUUCCAAGAAAUGCAAUGCUUCGAUGAAUAGGGUCCCGAUGACUGUCUGUGCGUCUAUAAAGAUGGGACACCUCUCACUCUGGCACGGAGGGGAGAUAAUACCACGAGCUGCUUCUGUCAUGUCCUCACGUUCGAGCGUUAUUUGAUUGACAACGAUUUCCGAAUUUUAAAGUGUGACAAAAGUGGCUAUUUCAAUCCUUUGCAGUGCAGCAUGAAAACCCAUAAGUGCUGGUGUGUGACGAAAUACGGAAACGAAGUGGCGCCUCCAUCUUCUAGCCGACGAUCGUGCGAUGAUGUUCGUCAUCUUCUGGAGAACUAAAUUAUUGUGAUUUACAUUCAAUAAA